Molecule: ribosomal RNA, 605 nt
Filed under: Ophiostomataceae sp. JCM 28181
Lineage: Eukaryota; Fungi; Ascomycota; Sordariomycetes; Ophiostomatales; Ophiostomataceae
Also listed under: 1 other name
Description: eukaryotic LSU rRNA
Rfam family: Eukaryotic large subunit ribosomal RNA
Source: RNAcentral
GCAUAUCAAUAAGCGGAGGAAAAGAAACCAACAGGGAUUGCCCCAGUAACGGCGAGUGAAGCGGCAACAGCUCAAAUUUGAAAUCUGGCCCCCCGGCCCGAGUUGUAAUUUGGAGAGGAUGCUUUUGGCGCGGCGCCGUCCGAGUUCCUUGGAACAGGACGCCACAGAGGGUGAGAGCCCCGUACGGACGGACGCCUAGCCUCUACAAAGCUCCUUCGACGAGUCGAGUAGUUUGGGAAUGCUGCUCAAAAUGGGAGGUAAAUUUCUUCUAAAGCUAAAUACCGGCCAGAGACCGAUAGCGCACAAGUAGAGUGAUCGAAAGAUGAAAAGCACUUUGAAAAGAGGGUUAAACAGUACGUGAAAUUGUUGAAAGGGAAGCGCCUGUGACCAGACUUGCGCCCCGCGGACCACCCGGCGACCUCGCCGGUGCACUCCGCGGGGCGCAGGCCAGCAUCGGUUCUCCUGGGGGGACAAAGGCCGCGGGAACGUAGCUCCUUCGGGCGUGUUAUAGCCCGCGGCGCCAUGCCCCUGGGGGGACCGAGGACCGCGCUUCGGCAAGGAUGCUGGCGUAAUGGUCAUCAGCGACCCGUCUUGAAACACGGACC